AGAAUCAACGCUGGCGGCGUGCCUAACACAUGCAAGUCGCACGAGAAAGGGACUUCGGUCCUGAGUACAGUGGCGCACGGGUGAGUAACACGUGAAUAAUCUACCUUCGAGUGGGGAAUAACUGAGAGAAAUCUUAGCUAAUACCGCAUAAUACCUACGGGUCAAAGCAGCAAUGCGCUUGAAGAGGAGUUCGCGGCAGAUUAGUUAGUUGGCGGGGUAAUGGCCCACCAAGACGAUGAUCUGUA
Molecule: ribosomal RNA, 245 nt
Filed under: uncultured bacterium
Lineage: Bacteria
Description: partial small subunit ribosomal RNA
Rfam family: Bacterial small subunit ribosomal RNA
Source: RNAcentral